This 204-nucleotide ribosomal RNA is filed under the name uncultured bacterium. Its description in RNAcentral is "partial 16S ribosomal RNA". It matches the Rfam family "Bacterial small subunit ribosomal RNA", at positions 524 to 727 of the family's 1533-position model. The record is from RNAcentral.
UACGUAGGGGGCGAGCGUUGUCCGGAUUUAUUGGGCGUAAAGAGCUCGUAGGCGGCUUGGCAAGUCGGGUGUGAAACCUCCAGCUCAACCUGGAGACGCCACUCGAUACUGCCAUGGCUAGAGUCCGGUAGGGGACCACGGAAUUCCUGGUGUAGCGGUGAAAUGCGCAGAUAUCAGGAGGAACACCGGUGGCGAAGGCGGUGG